Molecule: long non-coding RNA, 288 nt
Filed under: Eucalyptus grandis
Lineage: Eukaryota; Viridiplantae; Streptophyta; Magnoliopsida; Myrtales; Myrtaceae
Description: long non-coding RNA (EGRA_LNC007665)
Source: RNAcentral
GAGCAGUCAGAGUGUACUUCCAGAGAGAGUUCCGCACGGGAUGCCAGCAGAUCUAGGGUUUGAAGCAGGGCCAAAGUUUCUGCCUGCUCCGCCGAUUGCGCCUCCACCACUCUCGCAAAACCGUCCACCAAGCAUCCUCGAGAGUCCCUGCAGAUGCAUGCCACAGCUGCUCUGUUUUGUGGUAGUCCUUUGGUCCCUGUUUCCAUAGCGUGGGGCUCGGCAAAAGAGGCGUCGAAGUUUACCUUCAGCUGAUGGGGAGGCGGUGGUAACCAGCGGUCAGAUCUUACG